AUUGAACGCUGGCGGCAUGCCUUACACAUGCAAGUCGAACGGUAACAGGUCUUCGGAUGCUGACGAGUGGCGAACGGGUGAGUAAUACAUCGGAACGUGCCCGAUCGUGGGGGAUAACGGGGCGAAAGCUUUGCUAAUACCGCAUACGAUCUACGGAUGAAAGCAGGGGACCGCAAGGCCUUGCGCGGACGGAGCGGCCGAUGGCAGAUUAGGUAGUUGGUGGGAUAAAAGCUUACCAAGCCGACGAUCUGUAGCUGGUCUGAGAGGACGACCAGCCACACUGGGACUGAGACACGGCCCAGACUCCUACGGGAGGCAGCAGUGGGGAAUUUUGGACAAUGGGCGAAAGCCUGAUCCAGCCAUGCCGCGUGCAGGAUGAAGGCCUUCGGGUUGUAAACUGCUUUUGUACGGAACGAAAAGACUCUUUCUAAUAAAGAGGGUCCAUGACGGUACCGGAAGAAUAAGCACCGGCUAACUACGUG
RNAcentral lists this ribosomal RNA (482 nucleotides) under uncultured bacterium. Its description in RNAcentral is "partial 16S ribosomal RNA". It matches the Rfam family "Bacterial small subunit ribosomal RNA", at positions 30 to 507 of the family's 1533-position model. The record is from RNAcentral.